AAUCAACGCUGGCGGCGUGCCUAACACAUGCAAGUCGAACGCGAAAGCCCUUUCGGGGGUAAGUAGAGUGGCGUCCGGGUGAGUAACACGUGGGUAAUCUGCCUUCGGGUGGGGAAUAACCCAGGGAAACUUGGGCUAAUACCGCAUAAUGCAGCGGCACCUAAUGGUGAUUAGUUGUUAAAGCGGGGGAUCGCAAGACCUCGCGCCUGAAGAGGAGCCUGCGGCAGAUUAGCUAGNGGUGAGGUAAUGGCUCACCAAGGCUUCGAUCUGUAGCUGGUCUGAGAGGACGGCCAGCCACACUGGCACUGACACACGGGCCAGACUCCUACGGAGGCAGCAGUGGGGAAUUUUGGGCAAUGGGCGAAAGCCUGACCCAGCAACGCCGCGUGAAGGAUGAAAU
RNAcentral lists this ribosomal RNA (400 nucleotides) under uncultured bacterium. Its description in RNAcentral is "bacterial SSU rRNA". It matches the Rfam family "Bacterial small subunit ribosomal RNA", at positions 32 to 414 of the family's 1533-position model. The record is from RNAcentral.